AUGCUCGAGAUUCCUGCUCUGCUUCAGGAAAGAUCAAAGCACGGUGGUAAGAUGCCUGUGUGGAUCCCUGAUAAACAGGCAAGGACAGCAGGUUUGGUGAUCCCCUAGCACUGCCCAAGCUCUGUGGUGCCUGUGUCCCUCCUGUGUGCCUCUGCUGCUUUGGGGAUCCCCUGGUCGGUGAGGAUCUCUGGACCAGCACUGAAUGAAUGCCUCAUUUGACCUUGAUCUAGAAGAUGUUGAGGCCGCUGGAGCACAGACAGCCCUCCAGUUGACGGGGUGGAGGUUUCUGAAUGAAAAGAUGGUAAAAUGAAGAAAGAAUCACCUUUGAACACUGGAGGCUCCUCUACAUUGUUCUCCAGGUCCAGAUGCAUUUGGAUGUAGUUGUUGCACAGUUCCAUGCAGAGCUUGUGAAGCCUCUUGAUCAGCCAGCCCCAGUCUGCGUUGCUGACUGGCUGGACACUCAAAGAUGGGAUUCGAGCCCUCCACUGCCUCUUCUCCUUGCCUCGUGGGGGACUGACCUGGGCAGUUUCUUCAAAAAUGUCUUCAUCUUCUGAAGAACACUGUUGUGAGGAGUCUGUGCUUCUCUCAUCAUCUUCAAAGAGAAUCUUUUUCACUUGCUCUGCAGUGAUGUUCUCCUGGUUUGUCAGGAUUGCACAAACCAAGGCAUGGAAGUAGAUGUUGAAGCUCAUUGCUGACUGGCGAUACAAGUUGGCAGCUCCACCAAUGCCAGACACUUUUUUCAACAAACACUUCAGCCCAGGUCUGGUGUCAAACUCUCUGGCUGUUCUGUAGGAGUCCAGGAGUAAGUCAAAGAUGACAGCCAGGUUUUGCAUGGAGAUGUACCUGAGAAAACCAGCCAACUUGUUUUCUGGAAGAAGAAAAGCUCCCUUACCCCAGCUUCCUGUGAAACGAUGCAGCAUUAAGGAAACAAAACCAAAAGGGAGAAGUGAAACCCUGCUAAGGUUAAAGUAAAACUUUUGGAAAGGCCACAUUUACUAUCAUGCAUGAUUGCCAUAUUACUGCACUGCUGUAGCAAAUAAUAUGAAAAUAGUGGCACAGUCAACUUGUGAGCUGUGUUUUGGUGAUGAGCAUUGCUGGGACAACACUUGGCUAUGGGCAUAUACACCUUUAGCAGUUGGCUGGACAAAGCGCAGUGUGAGAGGAUUCAGAGUUUGCGUUAAUUGCAAGCUUUAUUUAUUUGUUUAAAGACAAGCAAGACCCUUACUGCCCUUACAAACACAGCCUGUUAGAUUGCAUGGCCUUAGGUGCUAUGAGAGUUGAAUAUUCCAGUCUUGCUUUGCACUCAUGGUAACAAGAAGAAUGACCUGCUAGCCUUUGGAAAAAGCAGAUAUUUCCCCCUAUAAAGGAAUGGUUUAACCUAUGACCUUAAGUUUUCUUUGUCGCUGUGCAGGGGCCUGUUCUCUGAUGCUGAGGCAACAGAGCACCUGCUCUCGGGGGAAAACUUCUGUACAACAGUGUAAGAGACAUCUUGCAUGGUCUUUCUUCCUGUCCCUCCAAAGAAGGACCAUCACAUUCUGGCUCCUUGUUGCAAGCAGUAGUUUAGAUUUGAAUGGUAUAAAACCAUGCUUGGUAUCUCAUAAAAGACAAUGUCAUGCCAUUAUAUGCCUUGCAAUACAAACACAAACCCUGAAUGCAGAAUUCUGAUUCUUGGUCCAAAUGAUGGUACAGCAGUUGUUUACACAACCACGUGCAAGCAAAGGGAAAUAUUCUUUCACAGGAUCAGACUAUAGUGCAAACAGAGGAGUUUCUCAGGUGGUAACACAACAGAAAGACUUCCACAAAAAUAAUGUGCCAAGCAAAAACAACACUCCCUAGCUUAGUGUUGACAGUUUUGCAGUUUUGGAUGUGGUAUCUUCAGUUUAUAAUGCCCCAAUUCAUCCAUUACCUUUUUCUACCUUCUUAACCAAGUAAUACAGAAUUUAAAAGGCCCUUAGUGAAGCAGACAUUGCAUUUGCUAGCUGUCACUAAAACCACAACAGUGUCACAAAACCUAAUUUGAUCAGUGCAUUCAUUUUUGUUGAUGAGCCCUAUGGGGAGGGGUAUGAUUUACCAGGCUCAGUUCACAUCUCUUCCUAUUCAGCAAUACUUUUAUCUUGCUUUAAGUGACACAGUGUCUUCCUUGGAA
Long non-coding RNA from Zonotrichia leucophrys gambelii, 2146 nucleotides. RefSeq lists it as uncharacterized. The record is from RefSeq and is a predicted model, not a curated record. The transcript has 4 exons. Lineage: Eukaryota; Metazoa; Chordata; Aves; Passeriformes; Passerellidae.